This 23-nucleotide non-coding RNA is filed under the name Cricetulus griseus (Chinese hamster). Lineage: Eukaryota; Metazoa; Chordata; Mammalia; Rodentia; Cricetidae. The record is from RNAcentral.
AACGUUUGAGGGGAAAGCUGUAU